AAAAAAAAGUGAAAUCUGGAGCUUCAUGGACCUGUCAGCAAUUAAGGAACAAAAGUAAUGAAGAUUUACAUAAACUUUGGUAUGUUCUCCUGAAAGAAACAUGCUCCUAACUCUAGAGCAGGAGGCUAAGCGGCAGAGAUUGCCAAUGCCAAGUCUGAAGCGGUUAGAAAAGGUAGUAGAUUCCAUGGAUACAUUAGAUAAAGUUGUCCAGGAAAGGGAAGAUGCCCUCAGAAUUCUUCAGACUGGUCAAGAAAAAGCUAGACCUGGUUCUUGGAGAAGAGACAUCUUUGGAAGAAUCAUCUGGCACAAGUUCAAGCAGUGGCCUAUACCUUGGUACCUAAAUAAAAGAAACAAUAGAAAACGAUUCUUUGCAGUGCCCUGCGUGAAACGUUUUGUCAGACUGAGAAUUGAGAAACAAGCCUGCAUCAAAGCAAGGAAGACAAGUUUAGCAAGCAAGAAAGAAAAGUUUCUUCAGGAAAACUUUCCACAUCUUUCUGAAGCCCAGAAAUCAAGUCUUAUCUAAGAUAUCUGAACUCUUAAUUUACCAUUUUGUUUUUCUUGGAUUACAAUCUAUAUACAAAAGUGAAUACAUACUAAGUGGUUUAUAAAUAACUUGUGUUUUUAGUCAAAU
Delphinapterus leucas (beluga whale) is the source of this 631-nucleotide non-coding RNA. NCBI's taxonomy places the organism in Eukaryota, Metazoa, Chordata, Mammalia, Artiodactyla, Monodontidae. The record is from RefSeq and is a predicted model, not a curated record.